CCCCAGUCAGGCGGGCACCCCGC
This 23-nucleotide ribosomal RNA is filed under the name Morus nigra (black mulberry). RNAcentral's name for it is "partial 28S ribosomal RNA". Lineage: Eukaryota; Viridiplantae; Streptophyta; Magnoliopsida; Rosales; Moraceae. The record is from RNAcentral.